This 1250-nucleotide ribosomal RNA is filed under the name Sesame phyllody phytoplasma. RNAcentral describes it as "bacterial SSU rRNA". It matches the Rfam family "Bacterial small subunit ribosomal RNA", at positions 153 to 1399 of the family's 1533-position model. The record is from RNAcentral. Lineage: Bacteria; Bacillati; Mycoplasmatota; Mollicutes; Acholeplasmatales; Acholeplasmataceae. RNAcentral also lists the same sequence under 1 other name.
GAAACGGUUGCUAAGACUGGAUAGGAAACAAAAAGGCAUCUUUUUGUUUUUAAAAGACCUUCUUACGAAGGUAUGCUUAAAGAGGGGCUUGCGCCACAUUAGUUAGUUGGUAGAGUAAAAGCCUACCAAGACGAUGAUGUGUAGCUGGACUGAGAGGUUGAACAGCCACAUUGGGACUGAGACACGGCCCAAACUCCUACGGGAGGCAGCAGUAGGGAAUUUUCGGCAAUGGAGGAAACUCUGACCGAGCAACGCCGCGUGAACGAUGAAGUAUUUCGGUAUGUAAAGUUCUUUUAUUGAAGAAGAAAAAGUAGUGGAAAAACUAUAUUGACGUUAUUCAAUGAAUAAGCCCCGGCUAACUAUGUGCCAGCAGCCGCGGUAAGACAUAGGGGGCGAGCGUUAUCCGGAAUUAUUGGGCGUAAAGGGUGCGUAGGCUGUUAGAUAAGUCUAUAAUUUAAUUUCAGUGCUUAACGCUGUCUUGUUAUAGAAACUGUCUUGACUAGAGUGAGAUAGAGGCAAGCGGAAUUCCAUGUGUAGCGGUAAAAUGUGUAAAUAUAUGGAGGAACACCAGAAGCGUAGGCGGCUUGCUGGGUCUUUACUGACGCUGAGGCACGAAAGCGUGGGUAGCAAACAGGAUUAGAUACCCUGGUAGUCCACGCCGUAAACGAUGAGUACUAAGUGUCGGGGUAAAACUCGGUACUGAAGUUAACACAUUAAGUACUCCGCCUGAGUAGUACGUACGCAAGUAUGAAACUUAAAGGAAUUGACGGGACUCCGCACAAGCGGUGGAUCAUGUUGUUUAAUUCGAAGAUACACGAAAAAUCUUACCAGGUCUUGACAUACUCUGCAAAGCUAUAGAAAUAUAGUGGAGGUUAUCAGGGAUACAGGUGGUGCAUGGUUGUCGUCAGUUCGUGUCGUGAGAUGUUAGGUUAAGUCCUAAAACGAGCGCAACCCUUGUCGUUAAUUGCCAGCACGUAAUGGUGGGGACUUUAACGAGACUGCCAAUUAAACAUUGGAGGAAGGUGAGGAUUACGUCAAAUCAUCAUGCCCCUUAUGAUCUGGGCUACAAACGUGAUACAAUGGCUGUGACAAAGAGUAGCUGAAACGCGAGUUUUUAGCCAAUCUCAAAAAAGCAGUCUCAGUUCGGAUUGAAGUCUGUAACUCGACUUCAUGAAGUUGGAAUCGCUAGUAAUCGCGAAUCAGCAUGUCGCGGUGAAUACGUUCUCGGGGUUUGUACACACCGCCCGUCA